This 301-nucleotide ribosomal RNA is filed under the name uncultured bacterium. RNAcentral describes it as "partial 16S ribosomal RNA". It matches the Rfam family "Bacterial small subunit ribosomal RNA", at positions 509 to 809 of the family's 1533-position model. The record is from RNAcentral.
CAGUCGCCGCGGGAAUACGGAGGGUGCAAGCGUUAAUCGGAAUUACUGGGCGUAAAGCGCACGCAGGCGGUCUGACAAGUCAGAUGUGAAAUCCCCGGGCUUAACCUGGGAACUGCAUUUGAAACUGUCAGGCUGGAGUCUUGUAGAGGGGGGUGGAAUUCCAGGUGUAGCGGUGAAAUGCGUAGAGAUCUGGAGGAAUACCGGUGGCGAAGGCGGCCCCCUGGACAAAGACUGACGCUCAGGUGCGAAAGCGUGGGGAGCAAACAGGAUUAGAGACCCCUGUAGUCCCUGUCUCUUAUAA